This 302-nucleotide ribosomal RNA is filed under the name uncultured bacterium. RNAcentral's name for it is "partial 16S ribosomal RNA". It matches the Rfam family "Bacterial small subunit ribosomal RNA", at positions 508 to 807 of the family's 1533-position model. The record is from RNAcentral.
GCAGCAGCCGCGGUAAUACGAAGGGUGCAAGCGUUAAUCGGAAUUACUGGGCGUAAAGCGUGCGUAGGCGGUGAGUUAAGUCUGCUGUGAAAUCCCCGGGCCCAACCUGGGAAUGGCAGUGGAUACUGGCUCGCUAGAGUGUGUCAGAGGAUGGUGGAAUUCCCGGUGUAGCGGUGAAAUGCGUAGAGAUCGGGAGGAACAUCAGUGGCGAAGGCGGCCAUCUGGGACAACACUGACGCUGAGGCACGAAAGCGUGGGGAGCAAACAGGAUUAGAUACCCCAGUAGUCCCUGUCUCUUAUAC